GAUGAACGCUGGCGGCGUGCCUAAUACAUGCAAGUCGAGCGAACAGAUAAGGAGCUUGCUCCUUUGACGUUAGCGGCGGACGGGUGAGUAACACGUGGAUAACCUACCUUUAAGACUGGGAUAACUUCGGGAAACCGGAGCUAAUACCGGAUAACAUAUUGAACCGCAUGGUUCAAUAGUGAAAGGCGGCUUUGCUGUCACUUAUAGAUGGAUCCGCGCCGUAUUAGCUAGUUGGUAAGGUAACGGCUUACCAAGGCAACGAUACGUAGCCGACCUGAGAGGGUGAUCGGCCACACUGGAACUGAGACACGGUCCAGACUCCUACGGGAGGCAGCAGUAGGGAAUCUUCCGCAAUGGGCGAAAGCCUGACGGAGCAACGCCGCGUGAGUGAUGAAGGUCUUCGGAUCGUAAAACUCUGUUAUCAGGGAAGAACAAAUGUGUAAGUAACUGUGCACAUCUUGACGGUACCUGAUCAGAAAGCCACGGCUAACUACGUG
RNAcentral lists this ribosomal RNA (497 nucleotides) under uncultured bacterium. RNAcentral's name for it is "partial 16S ribosomal RNA". It matches the Rfam family "Bacterial small subunit ribosomal RNA", at positions 28 to 507 of the family's 1533-position model. The record is from RNAcentral.